AAAAACUCCACAUCCUGCAGUCUAACAUGAAUACCUGGUUAAGUUUCCACAGUAACAACAAUGCCAAAUGUGCAUCAGUGAUGGUCUAAAACAUGGCUACAAAGAGUAAAUCAACACACUGGAGUGCCAGAGGCCGAGUUAAAUGUACAAGGAAAACAUUGUCACAGUUUGAAGAUUGGAUCUAAUACCUAGUUUGAAUCUGAUGAUUCUACUAGAUCUGUAACGUCGGUGCCACAGUUUGAAGAACCUAGCAUGGAUGAGGAAGGCCUAGGCACCAAAGAGAUGGGGAAAGGAUCCUACAGUUACAUAACAGAAAGUCUCCCAUAUGUGGAAAUAUCCUUUGGGGGAAACUUGUAAAAGGCCACGAAUCCCUUAAAAUGUGCAGUUCAUGCCCUUUUACCCCUUUCAUCGCAAGAUCAAUAUGUACACAAGAGAGACUUAAAUCUGUAUUUCACACCUGAUUUUGUAUUGCAUGAUCAUUCAGUUGGGGCAAUUGAGAUUUUUCUGGAUGGAAGAUUGGCUGAUUGGCAUUCAUCACCUAUAUUUCUAAAUUCUAAACAAAACAAAAUAUGAAUUUACAGGAAAAAUCAAAUUUUAAUGAGAGGAUUUAUCUUUCUCCAAAUUAAUAUCAUACAGUUAAAUAUAUAAUUCAACUUUGACUGUUUAACUGAUUUAUUUUGGUCAAAUAAU
Molecule: long non-coding RNA, 690 nt
Organism: Rhincodon typus (whale shark)
Lineage: Eukaryota; Metazoa; Chordata; Chondrichthyes; Orectolobiformes; Rhincodontidae
Exons: 3
Source: RefSeq, a predicted model, not a curated record